CUUGCCAUCCUGGUCCACUGCAU
RNAcentral lists this microRNA (23 nucleotides) under Homo sapiens (human). RNAcentral describes it as "hsa-miR-4776-3p". The record is from miRBase by way of RNAcentral. Lineage: Eukaryota; Metazoa; Chordata; Mammalia; Primates; Hominidae.